RNAcentral lists this ribosomal RNA (506 nucleotides) under uncultured bacterium. RNAcentral's name for it is "bacterial SSU rRNA". It matches the Rfam family "Bacterial small subunit ribosomal RNA", at positions 94 to 630 of the family's 1533-position model. The record is from RNAcentral.
AGUGGCGCACGGGUGAGUAACACGUGACUAACCUACCCUUGAGUGGGGGAUAACUUCGGGAAACCGAGGCUAAUACCGCAUAAUACCUACGGGUCAAAGGAGCAAUUCGCUUAAGGAGGGGGUCGCGGCAGAUUAGUUAGUUGGCGGGGUAAUGGCCUACCAAGACAAUGAUCUGUAUCCGGCCUGAGAGGGCGCACGGACACACUGGAACUGAAACACGGUCCAGACUCCUACGGGAGGCAGCAGUGGGGAAUUUUGCGCAAUGGGGGAAACCCUGACGCAGCAACGCCGCGUGGAGGAUGAAGUCCUUAGGGACGUAAACUCCUUUCGAUCGGGACGAUUAUGACGGUACCGAAAGAAAAAACCCCGGCUAACUUCUUGCCCCCAGCCGCGGUAAUACAAGGGGGGCGAGCGUUGUUCGGAAAUAUUGUGCGUAAAGGGGGGCGUAGGCGGGUUGGUAAGUCUGAUGUGGAAAUCUAUGGGGUCAACUCAUAAUCUGCAUCGGA